This is a long non-coding RNA of Neofelis nebulosa (Clouded leopard), 569 nucleotides long. RefSeq lists it as uncharacterized. NCBI's taxonomy places the organism in Eukaryota, Metazoa, Chordata, Mammalia, Carnivora, Felidae. The record is from RefSeq and is a predicted model, not a curated record. The transcript is spliced from 2 exons.
UUUAGCCAUUCUGGCAGAUGUGAGGUGAUAUCUCAUUGAGGUUUUGAUUUGCAUUUCCCUGAUGGUCUACAAAUCUUGACAUUUAACAAGCAUCCCAGGGAUGUGGUUGCAGGUGCCCCAUGGACCACACUUUGAGGAACAAUGUUCUGAUCACCAAAUGAAGUGUUCCAGUCCUGACAAAAAAGGCCUCAGGGACCUUUUACAGCCAUGAACUGCUGCAUUCUCCUUACUCAAGACUUCCUUUCUUUUCCUUUGGUACAUCAGUAGCAAAAAGAGGCACCCUAGAGACGGUCUUCUUACUCUAUUGUAUAUUACUAGGAGUCAGCAACUAGAGAGUGCCAUCAGCCCUGGAAAGUCAUAUUUCUUCCUCAGCUUGUUGCCCACCACACACUGUCCUUACAAACUUCCCUGGAAGCAUUUACCAUCGCUAUAAUCAAAGGGUUUUCUGCAUAAUUAAUUAUCUGGGAUCUUUUUUCCACCCUGGACAUUGUUAUAUUCACAAUACGCAGCAUACUUGGGAGUCAGGAAAUUCCCAAUGAACAGUUAUUGAUUAAACAAGCAAAGUAUCA